This 101-nucleotide ribosomal RNA is filed under the name Nannospalax galili (Upper Galilee mountains blind mole rat). The record is from RNAcentral. Lineage: Eukaryota; Metazoa; Chordata; Mammalia; Rodentia; Spalacidae.
GAUGAUGGCCAUGCCACCCUGAACCUGCCUGGUGCCAGCUGAUCUCAGAAGCUAAGCAGGGUAGGGCCUGUUAAUAUUCAGAUGAAAGGAGGCCUUCUAAU